RNAcentral lists this ribosomal RNA (321 nucleotides) under uncultured Leptophryidae. RNAcentral describes it as "SSU rRNA". It matches the Rfam family "Eukaryotic small subunit ribosomal RNA", at positions 662 to 955 of the family's 1831-position model. Lineage: Eukaryota; Endomyxa; Vampyrellida; Leptophryidae. The record is from RNAcentral.
AACUUUUAGCUUCUUUGGCCUGUCCCGGUCUCUUGUAGAACGUUGUGACGAAUCUUAGAACCUUCCUGGUAGAAAGUGUUUCUGCCCUUUAUUGGGUUGGUUGCAUGAUCUGCCUCUUUUACUGUGAGAAAAACAAAGUGCUCAAAGCAGGCUUUACAGCUUGAAUGCGUUAGCAUGGAAUAAUAAGAUAGGACUUUGUUUCUAUUUUGUUGGCUCUGAGGAACAAAGUAAUGAUUGAUAGGGAUAGUUGGGGGUGCUCGUAUUUAACGGUCAGCGGUGAAAUGCAUGGACCCGUUAAAGACGAACCUAUGCGAAAGCAUU